This 101-nucleotide ribosomal RNA is filed under the name Escherichia coli. The record is from RNAcentral. Lineage: Bacteria; Pseudomonadati; Pseudomonadota; Gammaproteobacteria; Enterobacterales; Enterobacteriaceae.
GCCGCCGUCCCACCUGACCCCAUGCCGAACUCAGAAGUGAAACGCCGUAGCGCCGAUGGUAGUGUGGGGUCUCCCCAUGCGAGAGUAGGGAACUGCCAGGC